AGGUGGUGCUUCUCGUGUUGCUCC
This 24-nucleotide non-coding RNA is filed under the name Arabidopsis thaliana (thale cress). The record is from RNAcentral. Lineage: Eukaryota; Viridiplantae; Streptophyta; Magnoliopsida; Brassicales; Brassicaceae.